RNAcentral lists this ribosomal RNA (491 nucleotides) under uncultured fungus. RNAcentral's name for it is "eukaryotic LSU rRNA". The stretch from base 130 to 283 matches the Rfam family "5.8S ribosomal RNA". The record is from RNAcentral. Lineage: Eukaryota; Fungi.
CCUGUGAACAUACCUUAAUGUUGCCUCGGCGGAUCAGCCCGCGCCCCGUAAAACGGGACGGCCCGCCAGAGGACCCAAACUCUAAUGUUUCUUAUUGUAACUUCUGAGUAAAACAAACAAAUAAAUCAAAACUUUCAACAACGGAUCUCUUGGUUCUGGCAUCGAUGAAGAACGCAGCGAAAUGCGAUAAGUAAUGUGAAUUGCAGAAUUCAGUGAAUCAUCGAAUCUUUGAACGCACAUUGCGCCCCUUGGUAUUCCGGGGGGCAUGCCUGUUCGAGCGUCAUUUCAACCCUCAAGCUUAGCUUGGUAUUGAGUCUAUGUCAGUAAUGGCAGGCUCUAAAAUCAGUGGCGGCGCCGCUGGGUCCUGAACGUAGUAAUAUCUCUNGUUACAGGUUCUCGGUGUGCUUCUGCCAAAACCCAAAUUUUUCUAUGGUUGACCUCGGAUCAGGUAGGGAUACCCGCUGAACUUAAGCAUAUCAAUAAGCGGAGGA